GUGCUUGCUUUGGCAGCACACAUACUAAAAUCGGAAUGAUACAGAGAUUAGCAUGGCCCCUGUGCAAGGACGACACACAAAUUCAUAAAGUGUUCCAUAUUUAA
Molecule: small nuclear RNA, 104 nt
Organism: Nycticebus coucang (slow loris)
Lineage: Eukaryota; Metazoa; Chordata; Mammalia; Primates; Lorisidae
Source: RefSeq, a predicted model, not a curated record